AGAGCAAAUCUCUGUCAACCCACCAGUGACAAUUCUCAGGCCCUCUGGCUCUUGUUUGGCUACACUCUGAGGCAACAGUAGGGACCCUCAAAGAUCAAGAGUCUGAAAAGGUCAGAGAAGCCCUGAUGGGGCCUUUGAAAGUAUAUGACAUCACAGUGGGUACCAGGAGAGGCCAUGCCUGGAAAAAGGAGCAAUAAUAAUAACAGCUAUAUUGAUAGCUGUGCAACAGAUAACUAUUGAAGCAGUCUACAAAUAUGGAACUCUUUUUACCUGACCAACAUCUCUAUGAGACGUCUUUCUUCCCUUCUCUUGAAGCUGACAAUGGAGGGAGAGGACUGGUCUGCCAAGAGAGCCAACCCUAAG
This 363-nucleotide long non-coding RNA is filed under the name Pan troglodytes (chimpanzee). Its description in RNAcentral is "lincRNA". Lineage: Eukaryota; Metazoa; Chordata; Mammalia; Primates; Hominidae. The record is from RNAcentral.